GAGUAGCUCCUCGAAGAGGAGGGAGAGCUGCUUAACGUUGCGGGGGACGGAGGAGAAGUUGGGAUUAACACGAAGGGGGGACGACGACGGCGAAGGUUGUUGGUGGGAGGAGACGUCACGGGAGAGGAAGAGGAGGUGGCGGAGGAGGUCGGCGUCGGUGGACGGGUCGGGUGGCGGAGGAGGGGAGGAGGAGGAGGUGGCCAUGGAAGAAGCUGUCGUGUCCUCGAUUCAAGCGUCGGGAGUCGUAACAGGAAAGGAAGGGGAGUUCGAGGGGUCUAUAUGGUGGUGGUGGUCGUCCGCUGCUGGUGCUGUGCAGUUAUGUCGGCCGGAAUUGCGUGGAAAGCAAGAGGAUGUAUGAGCUGGGGAGGAACAAGUGCGGUCGCCGCC
RNAcentral lists this long non-coding RNA (387 nucleotides) under Musa acuminata (dwarf banana). RNAcentral's name for it is "long non-coding RNA (MACU_LNC004169)". The record is from RNAcentral. Lineage: Eukaryota; Viridiplantae; Streptophyta; Magnoliopsida; Zingiberales; Musaceae.